RNAcentral lists this small RNA (64 nucleotides) under Arabidopsis thaliana (thale cress). RNAcentral's name for it is "ATSL111020". Lineage: Eukaryota; Viridiplantae; Streptophyta; Magnoliopsida; Brassicales; Brassicaceae. The record is from RNAcentral.
UGAACGUGUAACACUGGUCGAAAGAAGACGAACAUAAACUCGUCUCCGGUAACCAAAAAUGGUU